AUCAUUCAUUCUUCUCUGUGACCUCAAAUUCUCAAAACAUUGCAGGAGACUGGAGUUUCCACUUUUCUGGUUUCGCUUAAUGUAGCUUUAUUAUGUAAAGUAUUCACGUGAACAUCGAGCAAUAAAAACAAUACAACAAUGAAAUAAUAAGUUAAUGUUUUCCUUUCAAAGCUCUAAACUGAUACAAUCUGGAAGAAAACUCCAAGAAGAUGGUUUCUAAAACACAUGACUUGGAGUCGGGAGAUGCUCCAACGCAAGAUGUUGCUGUGGAUUCUUCACCACCAAGUACGACUCCCCAAAUCAGAGAAACUCUUAGCGAAACAACAUUAUUAACAAAUGUCCAGACAUACUUUUCUGAUAAAAAAGUACAAAUCCCUGAAUCAGACAAGGAAAGUUUCAGUUUUAAAAAAUUAUGGGCUUUCACUGGACCUGGUUUCCUAAUGUCUAUAGCAUACCUUGACCCAGGAAACAUAGAAAGCGAUUUGAAGAGUGGAUCUGUUGCCCAGUAUAGGUUAUUAUGGAUUCUGUUAUCUGCUACCUUAUUGGGUUUGAUGAUGCAAAGACUUGCUGCAAGGCUGGGUGUCGUCACUGGACUUCAUCUUGCAGAAAUGUGUUAUAGGCAAUACAAAAAAGUUCCUCGAAUUAUAUUGUGGUUAAUGAUAGAAAUAGCAAUUAUUGGAUCUGAUAUGCAAGAGGUCAUUGGAACUGCUAUCGCUAUAUAUUUACUCUCGAAUAAAUGGAUCGCCAUUUGGCAAGGAGUUCUCAUAACAAUAAUAGAUACUUUCACCUUUUUAUUCCUUGACAAAUAUGGACUCAGAAAAUUAGAACUAGUAUUUGGUACUUUGAUAACAAUCAUGGGAUUGAGCUUUGGCUAUGAGUUCGUGGUGUCCAAACCAAACCAAUACGAGGUUUUAGAGGGAAUGUUCACUCCAUGGUGUAAAGGUUGUGAUUCAAGUGCAUUGUUGCAAGCAGUUGGUAUUGUAGGAGCUGUGAUCAUGCCCCAUAAUUUAUAUCUUCACUCGGCACUAGUCAAAUCCCGUGAUAUCGAUAGAACUAAACCCGCCAAAGUUAGAGAUGCCAACCUUUAUUUCUUUAUAGAAGCUGCAAUAGCCUUAGCUGUCAGUUUUAUAAUUAAUGUGUUUGUGGUCUCAGUUUUCGCACAUGGGUUGUAUCAUACAACGAAUUCGGAACUUAGACAAAAGUGUUCGCAUUAUCCAUCUAUAAAUGGUUCUAUAUUCCCAGACAAUAAUGAGUAUGUUGACGCUGACUUGUACAAGGGAGGUAUAUUCUUAGGGUGUACUUAUGGACUAGCUGCAUUAUAUAUUUGGGGAGUUGGAAUUUUGGCAGCUGGACAAAGUUCCACCAUGACAGGUACCUAUGCGGGACAAUUUUCAAUGGAGGGUUUCCUCAACCUUCAAUGGCCCAGGUGGAAACGGGUAUUCUUCACGAGAUCAAUAGCUAUCAUUCCUACGUUUUGUCUUGCAUUUUUCAGUCAAAUUGAGGAUAUGACCAGUAUGAAUGACAUCCUUAAUGCAAUUAUGAGCUUGCAGUUACCUUUUGCUACAAUACCCACCAUUGCCUUCACCAGUAAUCCUCAAAUAAUGGGAGAGUUCGUGAAUGGAUGGGUAAACAAAGUAGCCUCUAUAUUGUUGAGUAUAGUUGUUAUAGCAAUUAAUACCUUCUUCGUUAUUCAAACUGUACAACACUAUGCUACUUGGCCGUGGUUGGUAUUGGUUGCCAUUGUCGGAGUAUUAUAUUUACUGUUUUGCGUUUACUUGGUGUUGCACAUGGCAGUUUCGAUGGGUUGCGAAGGCCUGCUCAAAUACGACUUCAUCAGCAAUUAUGUCGUUGGACCUGUAAACUCUCAACUUACCGUACAACCAAUUAAUUAUUCAAGAGAGAGUUUGGAAGAAUCUGCAUAGAAUUAACUGGAUUCUAAAGAAAUUCUAGACUUAAAACGUGUUAAUACCUAUGUAACGGCGAAGAAUCCAGAGUUGAUAGAUGAACAACUCAGAGCUGACCCUCCAGAGUAGCGAAACGUUAAGUGAAAAAUUCUAAUUGGAAUACUCAUUCAUUUCAUCCGAAAUCUGAAUACCUAGUUACAGGAUUGCAGGCAAUAUAUUUUGUGAUUGAAUUCUGUUUUUACUCAUUUUACUGUAAAUGUAUGAAAUUUAUAUUCGUUGUGAUUACAAAUACCAUUUUAUUAAACGAUGUUUCCAAUA
This is an RNA transcript of Coccinella septempunctata (seven-spotted ladybird), 2222 nucleotides long. It is a transcript of the gene named protein Malvolio-like, with no coding region annotated. The transcript is spliced from 13 exons. The record is from RefSeq and is a predicted model, not a curated record. NCBI's taxonomy places the organism in Eukaryota, Metazoa, Arthropoda, Insecta, Coleoptera, Coccinellidae.